AUGGCCAUGGAGCCAACAGCACUGAUCUCCAACUCGAAACAUAGGUCAUGCAUUCUUGGACUCAACAUUUCUGGCAGUGGCUUCCUGAUUGUGGCAGAGGCAGAUGCUGUCAUGGCAGGCCAGUUCUGGAACACAGCUGUGGGAAUCAUCCUGGAGGCCCGUCCUGAAGCCUGCUCCUCCAGCCCUUCCAGCCAUGUUUGCUCUGGACUGAAUAAUCAGAAGUAUCCUAGGUUAUUUUUAUCACCAAGCAGGAAAAUGAGGUGGCUGAGAACACACACUUUGAAGUCCAGCAGGCUGUGUUUCCCUUUCCAAUUCUGCCACAUGCUGUGCAACUUCAGGAGAGAGAUCCAAAAUGAUCUAAGGCAACCUGCCAUUCAACAUGUGUUCUGGGUACCAGUGGCCUGCCAUUCUCAAAGAUACACGUGCGACCUUUCCUAUCUUGGAGCCACUUUGCCAGUAUUGAUCGCUGAUUGCAAGGGAGCACGCUUUGCAACUGCAUAG
RNAcentral lists this long non-coding RNA (501 nucleotides) under Papio anubis (olive baboon). RNAcentral's name for it is "lncRNA (ENSPANG00000048646.1)". The record is from RNAcentral. Lineage: Eukaryota; Metazoa; Chordata; Mammalia; Primates; Cercopithecidae.